UUUAUGCUGUCAGCGGCUGGCAUAGAAAAGGGAGCAAACAAAUCCUGGGCACGAGGUGGCAGGAAUGGUGACCUUGAAGCACUUGUACGAAAUCGCCCUGGUGAAGUCUCAGGACCCGAACUUUGUGCUCCGCGACACGCCGCUCGAGAAGGUCGUCCUGUCGCUCAUGGGGACUGCCCGGUCGCUGGGCAUCAAGGUGGUGAAAGAACUCGAUUCAGAGGAAUACGCUUUUCCUGAAGUGAGCGC
This is a long non-coding RNA of Lacerta agilis (Sand lizard), 246 nucleotides long. RefSeq lists it as uncharacterized. The transcript is spliced from 3 exons. The record is from RefSeq and is a predicted model, not a curated record. Lineage: Eukaryota; Metazoa; Chordata; Lepidosauria; Squamata; Lacertidae.